Non-coding RNA from Alphaproteobacteria bacterium 13_1_20CM_3_64_12, 113 nucleotides. NCBI's taxonomy places the organism in Bacteria, Pseudomonadati, Pseudomonadota, Alphaproteobacteria. The record is from Rfam.
CACACGCAGGGCUGCGGCCUCCCCGAAGGGGCUGGCCGCUCCGGUGUCGGCUUUCCGCGAAGCGGAACGGUCGAUUGUCCCCUGCGGCGGCAUAACCGGAAAGGAAGAGAUAU